This 366-nucleotide RNase P RNA is filed under the name Lachnospiraceae bacterium. RNAcentral describes it as "RNase P RNA component class A". It matches the Rfam family "Bacterial RNase P class A". Rfam says of the family: Ribonuclease P (RNase P) is a ubiquitous endoribonuclease, found in archaea, bacteria and eukarya as well as chloroplasts and mitochondria. Lineage: Bacteria; Bacillati; Bacillota; Clostridia; Lachnospirales; Lachnospiraceae. The record is from RNAcentral.
CGAGAUGGACAGACGAUCGCGGCUGCAGAGACGAAAGGCUGCAGGUGAGGAAAGUCCGGGCUUCACAGGGCAGGAUGCCGGAUAACAUCCGGUGGAGGCGACUCCCAGGCCAGUGCAACAGAAAUAAACCGCCGGCCACGCCGGUAAGGGUGCAAAGGCGGUGUAAGAGACCACCGCCCGCGCGGUGACGUGCGGGGCACAUGUAAACCCCAUCCGAAGCAAGACCGAACAGGACAGACAGGCUGCCCGCCAUUUCCGAAUUUGUUCGGAACGAUGUCCGGGUAGGUCGCUUGAAUCUGCCGGCAACGGCAGAUCUAGAUAGAUGAUCGUCCGAUACAUAACCCGGCUUAUAGUCCAUCUCGAUGU